Octopus bimaculoides (California two-spot octopus) is the source of this 2925-nucleotide long non-coding RNA. RefSeq lists it as uncharacterized. The record is from RefSeq and is a predicted model, not a curated record. NCBI's taxonomy places the organism in Eukaryota, Metazoa, Mollusca, Cephalopoda, Octopoda, Octopodidae.
GAGUCAUUCGUUCAAGAGAAGCGGCAGAUCACAGAACAGAUGGAAGAACAUUUGUCUUUAGUGUGUCUUCAGUGGAAAUGUCCGCUAUUUUUACCUCUUCGAUUCUGCCAGCAUCUUAAAGUUUCUCAAACAAAAUGUGGACUUAAACCAAUCGGCCAAAACUUGAUGUCUCCAUACCAGCAAGUGACGAAUGCACAGUGCUUCCCUCUUUAGGAAUACUUUGAAUGUUGUCUCUGUACAUUCCUUUUUCAAUGAAAGGAAUGUGUAACCUGGUAACUUUUUUGUGAUUGCUAUCCAAUCCAUUUUUUAGGUGUUGCAAUACUGUUAAUUUUAUUUUAUGAGAAUUCUGUCAAAAGUAAUGUCUCGCUUUCCAGAGUUCUAGAGCUGUAGUAUCCUCGCUCAACCAUUCCUCCUGCCCCCAAUUUAUGGUAGGAAAACGGAUGAAGGGAGAAAUGUCAAUCAAAUUACUAUUCCAGCUUUUAUCAAGAACUUGGAAUGUUGAAAAGGCUGAGUUGGUCUUAAUUAAUCGGACAUUUCUGAAAUUUGCUUCAAAACCGACUCUGGGUUCAUUCUCAUCAAAUACACAUCGAAUUUGCCUGAUGCCAUCACCUUUGGUCAACCUAAGUAUUAAGUGAAUGUUUAGACAGAAACUGGAAAUCUGUCAGAAGAACAGUUCUUUGAGAUAACAUUUAAUCAAUUUCCUGGCUCAACAUCAUCUUUCUCUUGGAUACUGUUUUGUGGAACUCGUUUUGCAAGAAUCAGUCAAGUCUCGAACUUGAAAAUAACUUCAAACUCAAAGGGAUUAUUGGUGCUAUAUUUUUUCAGACAAGAAAAGGAAUUUAACAUGUUUGAUGUAUUUGUAAGGACAUUAAUGUCUCCUAUUCCAAACAAAAUUUUGUACGUUCUUAUACUCUGACGUCAUGACAUCAAUUAGUUUCUUUUACAACUCUCCAUUGACAGGUAAUCUAUGCAACAUGUCUACACUGGAGUAAUUCGCUCUUCUGUAAAUGAGUGUUUAACUCCGUUCCCAGGCAACGGCAAACGGUAACCAUUCUAGCUUAUCAAAAAUGCAGUUACUAUGAUUUGUAUCGGAUAUUAAUACGUUUUCUUUUAAAUCAGCUCCUGAGAGUUUAAGCUUCACCUAUUUUGUCCUUUCUAGGGCCUAUAAAAUGACUGACUGUAUAAGGGGAUUCAUUUAAGGGGCCCAUUUCUGAAGUCACUUUUUUGCUAGUAAAAAGAAUUUUUCUUUGAUAAAUCUUCGAAUUUAUGGAACUAUUUGUAACGAUGUCUCGUCUUUGACCCUUGAUAUCUGUUUUCUUGUUCCCACUUCACAAAUGGCCUUGGCAAAUUUUGAAUAUGUUUACAAUCUGCCAUGUUGAGAUAGGUUGGAGGAAUCUGCAGUAGAUAUCCCUUGCUUAUAUGUUGACUGUUCCACAAUUCAAAGAAUUGGUCUUUGAUUAAUAGUGCCUUUCAUUGUCAGCAUGUCUUUUUUUUUUUUUUUUUUUUUUUUUUUUUUUCAUCCAGCUCUUGUUCAUUCAUGUAUGUCUGUACUGGAACCGUCUCUUUUGUCAAAUAUAGCAGCUGAUGUUGAUUACAAUUUUAAAAUAUUUGUAAUCUGAAGACGGUUCUCAAACAAUUGUUAGGUGCUGACCCCUUUCUCAGAACUUCACAAGCACAGUUUUCUUAAAUUUUGGAUUAUCGGUACAUCGAUGUUUGUCUAUUGAGCAUUCCGAGUGUUUUCCCUGAGGAAGAUACUAAAUUCUACGCAAUUUAUAUUACAAAGUUGGAAGAUGUUUUCCCCAAGACCAGUCCUUAAUAUAAUCUGGUAUUCUGGAAUUAGUGAAGAUUUUAAGCUGAAGAAAAAUUGGGAUGAUGACUUGUGAAACGAAGCCCAAUUAAAGUUUAGGAGCUGGAGUAAAGCUAGUCAGGAAGCAAUUUUAUCUUUUUAUCCAAUAAUGCUAUUAAUUGAUGAAAUCUGUAUUGCAGAUAUUACAAUAUUUUUUUUUUUUUUGUAUUGGCAUUCGGUUCCUUUAAGUUUGACUUUUCUAAGCUUUAUAAAAUUCCGAAUUCUAUAUUAGGGAACUCGUUCAACAGAACCAUUUUCUAAAAUCACCUGUUUCUAGUAACAGGAAAUAUUCUACCUAAAAUGUUUACUUUGGUAAAUAUUUGAAUUUGCGGAACUAUUUCAGUGAUGCAUUUUAUUAUUUUUUAAUUUUUUAUCAUUGACCCUUCAGUUUUGAACCGAGCUGAGCUAAGCUAUACAGCGAGUGUUAAUGCUGGAACCGGAGACCAUUAUAUCUUUGGUCUUACACUCUCCCAACUGAGCUAUUUCGGCCGACGGCACGUAUUCUAUAUUUUAUUGAUUAUUUAUUAAUUAUAUUGUGAUUUUCAACAAAGAGAAUAUGAACAAGGAAGAAGAUAGUGUCACAUGGGCCGUGAGAUCAAACCGCACCAAUGCUGAUCUUCAUAUCUCAUCCUUCUAUGACCUCACUUUCAUUGCUUUGGAAAUUACUCAUUUCUUACUUUACUGCUCAGCAGGUGUUGUCUGAGUGAUACAAAGCAUCAUUCAAAGGUUGUUUGGACGGAUUCUAUGCCUCUACCACCAUCACUUCUUUUCACGUAGAUCCUGUCGGUGUCCCUAUUACUAUGGAAGUUGCCAGUGGUGGUCAGCUUUGUUGAGGAGGAACUGGUCAGCGCAGUCCCAGAAUCCUUGUUUUCGUACUGCCUCUUUAUCGGUUAUCACGACAUUUGUUUGGCAGUGAUUUGGGUGAAACAUAUUCAGAGAACCUGUGUGCAGUUUCUACAUAACAUUUAAGCAUGCUAUGAACAUGCUACAGUUUUUGGCAAUUUUAUUGAAUAAAUUUACUCUUUAAUAUUUCAAGCUAUUUUUAUGUAAUUUUGGCAAAUAAAUCUGUUAAAAUGAGA